AUUGAACGCUGGCGGCAUGCCUUACACAUGCAAGUCGAACGGCAGCACGGGUGCUUGCACCUGGUGGCGAGUGGCGAACGGGUGAGUAAUACAUCGGAACAUGUCCUGUAGUGGGGGAUAGCCCGGCGAAAGCCGGAUUAAUACCGCAUACGAUCUACGGAUGAAAGCGGGGGACCUUCGGGCCUCGCGCUAUAGGGUUGGCCGAUGGCUGAUUAGCUAGUUGGUGGGGUAAAGGCCUACCAAGGCGACGAUCAGUAGCUGGUCUGAGAGGACGACCAGCCACACUGGGACUGAGACACGGCCCAGACGCCUACGGGAGGCAGCAGUGGGGAAUUUUGGACAAUGGGCGAAAGCCUGAUCCAGCAAUGCCGCGUGUGUGAAGAAGGCCUUCGGGUUGUAAAGCACUUUUGUCCGGAAAGAAAUCCUUGGCCCUAAUACGGGCGGGGGAUGACGGUACCGGAAGAAUAAGCACCGGCGAACUACGU
RNAcentral lists this ribosomal RNA (485 nucleotides) under uncultured bacterium. Its description in RNAcentral is "partial 16S ribosomal RNA". It matches the Rfam family "Bacterial small subunit ribosomal RNA", at positions 29 to 506 of the family's 1533-position model. The record is from RNAcentral.